CCCGGAGCCUCCUUUGCGUAGUAACUUUACGUCUCGCACUGGGAUCCGGAGGGACUCUUGCCGUAAAACCCCCCAAUUUUUCCAAAGGUUGACCUCGGAUCAGGUAGGAAUACCCGCUGAACUUAAGCAUAUCAAUAAGCGGAGGAAAAGAAACCAACAGGGAUUGCCUCAGUAACGGCGAGUGAAGCGGCAACAGCUCAAAUUUGAAAUCUGGCCCUAGGCCCGAGUUGUAAUUUGCAGAGGAUGCUUUUGGUGCGGUGCCUUCCAAGUUCCCUAGAACGGGACGCCAGAGAGGGUGAGAGCCCCGUACAGUUGGACACCAAGCCUUUGUAAAGCUCCUUCGACGAGUCGAGUAGUUUGGGAAUGCUGCUCAAAAUGGGAGGUAUAUUUCUUCUAAAGCUAAAUACCGGCCAGAGACCGAUAGCGCACAAGUAGAGUGAUCGAAAGAUGAAAAGCACUUUGAAAAGAGGGUUAAACAGCACGUGAAAUUGUUAAAAGGGAAGCGCUUGUGACCAGACUUGCGUCCGGUGAAUCACCCAGCUCUCGCGGCUGGGGCACUUCGCCGGCUCAGGCCAGCAUCAGCUCGCUGUCGGGGACAAAAGCUUCAGGAACGUAGCUCUCUUCGGGGAGUGUUAUAGCCUGUUGCACAAUACCCUUCGGCGGGCUGAGGUACGCGCUCCGCAAGGAUGCUGGCAUAAUGGUCAUCAGCGACCCGUCUUGAAACACGGACCAAGGAGUCAACCUUAUGUGCGAGUGUUCGGGUGUCAAACCCCUACGCGUAAUGAAAGUGAACGCAGGUGAGAGCUUCGGCGCAUCAUCGACCGAUCCUGAUGUUCUCGGAUGGAUUUGAGUAAGAGCAUAUAGGGUUGGACCCGAAAGAAGGUGAACUAUGCGUGUAUAGGGUGAAGCCAGAGGAAACUCUGGUGGAGGCUCGCAGCGGUUCUGACGUGCAAAUCGAUCGUCAAAUAUGCGCAUGGGGG
This 980-nucleotide ribosomal RNA is filed under the name Colletotrichum gloeosporioides. RNAcentral's name for it is "eukaryotic LSU rRNA". It matches the Rfam family "Eukaryotic large subunit ribosomal RNA", at positions 1 to 923 of the family's 3401-position model. Lineage: Eukaryota; Fungi; Ascomycota; Sordariomycetes; Glomerellales; Glomerellaceae. The record is from RNAcentral.